GACGAACGCUGGCGGCGUGCUUAACACAUGCAAGUCGAACGGAAAGGCCCUGCUUUUGUGGGGUGCUCGAGUGGCGAACGGGUGUGUAACACGUGAGUAACCUGCCCUUGACUUUGGGAUAACUUCAGGAAACUGGGGCUAAUACCGGAUAGGAGCUCCUGCUGCAUGGUGGGGGUUGGAAAGUUUCGGCGGGUGGGGAUGGACUCGCGGCUUAUCAGCUUGUUGGUGGGGUAGUGGCUUACCAAGGCUUUGACGGGUAGCCGGCCUGGGAGGGUGACCGGCCACAUUGGGACGGGGAUACGGCCCGGACUCCUAGGGGAGGCAGCAGUGGGGAAUAUUGCACAAUGGGCGGAAGCCGGAUGCAGCAACGCCGCGUGCGGGAUGACGGCCUUCGGGUUGUAACCCGCUUUCGCCUGGGACGAAGCGUGAGUGACGGUAAUGGGUAAAGAAGCACCGGCUAACUACGUG
RNAcentral lists this ribosomal RNA (468 nucleotides) under uncultured bacterium. Its description in RNAcentral is "partial 16S ribosomal RNA". It matches the Rfam family "Bacterial small subunit ribosomal RNA", at positions 28 to 507 of the family's 1533-position model. The record is from RNAcentral.